RNAcentral lists this ribosomal RNA (459 nucleotides) under uncultured bacterium. RNAcentral's name for it is "partial 16S ribosomal RNA". It matches the Rfam family "Bacterial small subunit ribosomal RNA", at positions 338 to 795 of the family's 1533-position model. The record is from RNAcentral.
CCUACGGGAGGCUGCAGUGAGGAAUAUUGGUCAAUGGGCGAGAGCCUGAACCAGCCAAGUCGCGUGAGGGAGUACUGCCCUAUGUGUUGUAAACCUCUUUUGUCGGGGAGCAAAAGCCGGGCGUGUCCGGCUGUAGGAGUACCCGAAGAAAAAGCAUCGGCUAACUUCGUGCCAGCAGCCGCGGUAAUACGUAGGGGGCAAGCGUUUUCCGGGUUUAAUGGGGGUAAAGGGAACGCAGGGGGGCUUGUAAGGUCGAUGUGAAAGCCCUCGGCUUAACCGGAGUAGUGCAUUGGAAACUGGGGGGCUGGAGUGCAGAAGAGGUGAGUGGAAUUCCAGGUGUAGGAGUGAAAUGCGUAGAUAUCUGGAGGAACAUCAGUGGCGAAGGCGACUAUCUGGCACAUCACUGACGCUGAGGAGCGAAAGCGUGGGUAGCAAACAGGAUUAGAUACCCUGGUAGUC